ACGGAGGGUGCAAGCGUUAAUCGGAAUUACUGGGCGUAAAGCGCGCGUAGGCGGUUUGAUCAGUUGGAUGUGAAAGCCCAGGGCUCAACCUUGGAACUGCAUUCAAUACUGUCAGGCUAGAGUACGGUAGAGGGAGGUAGAAUUCCAUGUGUAGCGGUGAAAUGCGUAGAGAUGUGGAGGAAUACCAGUGGCGAAGGCGGCCUCCUGGAUCGAUACUGACGCUGAGGUGCGAAAGCGUGGGGAGCAAACAGG
RNAcentral lists this ribosomal RNA (252 nucleotides) under uncultured bacterium. Its description in RNAcentral is "partial 16S ribosomal RNA". It matches the Rfam family "Bacterial small subunit ribosomal RNA", at positions 525 to 776 of the family's 1533-position model. The record is from RNAcentral.